GAUGAACGCUGGCGGCGUGCCUAAUACAUGCAAGUCGAGCGAACAGACGAGGAGCUUGCUCCUCUGGCGUUAGCGGCGGACGGGUGAGUAACACGUGGAUAACCUACCUAUAAGACUGGGAUAACUUCGGGAAACCGGAGCUAAUACCGGAUAAUAUAUUGAACCGCAUGGUUCAAUAGUGAAAGACGGUUUUGCUGUCACUUAUAGAUGGAUCCGCGCCGCAUUAGCUAGUUGGUAAGGUAACGGCUUACCAAGGUAACGAUGCGUAGCCGACCUGAGAGGGUGAUCGGCCACACUGGAACUGAGACACGGUCCAGACUCCUACGGGAGGCAGCAGUAGGGAAUCUUCCGCAAUGGGCGAAAGCCUGACGGAGCAACGCCGCGUGAGUGAUGAAGGUCUUCGGAUCGUAAAACUCUGUUAUUAGGGAAGAACAAAUGUGUAAGUAACUAUGCACGUCUUGACGGUACCUAAUCAGAAAGCCACGGCUAACUACGUG
This 497-nucleotide ribosomal RNA is filed under the name uncultured bacterium. RNAcentral's name for it is "partial 16S ribosomal RNA". It matches the Rfam family "Bacterial small subunit ribosomal RNA", at positions 28 to 507 of the family's 1533-position model. The record is from RNAcentral.